AGAUAUUAAAUCCAAUCGACAGUAUUUAUGAGGUGGAGCAAGAAGGAGCAUGUGAGAAAGAUAGUAUCAAGAAUAACAGAGAGAAAGAGAAUAUUAGUAUGCAGUCAUCUAUUUCUUCUUCUCUCUCUCUCUCUUCUUCUUUUAUCC
RNAcentral lists this non-coding RNA (147 nucleotides) under uncultured Mallomonas. The record is from RNAcentral. Lineage: Eukaryota; Synurophyceae; Synurales; Mallomonadaceae.